AGCCAAGUAGCCUUACAAGUUGCCACCAUUAUGAAUUAGUAACAUUUUUUUCUUCCUCUUCCAAGUAGUGACAGCUUCUGUGUCUGAAACACUGUCUUAUCAGUGAUAUCUUGGAUAUAAAUAUCCCUUCUCUGUUCUCCCUGUCUCUGGAUUGGGAGCAGGUUUCCUGCCCACUUUGUAUUCUGUGUUAAGGCCUUUUAUUUUGAGAAUAGUUUAUAUUUGUGCUACAAAGAGAAUUAGCGAACAAAUGGCUUUAGUCAUUCAUUCACUCAUAAACCUAUUCAUAAUGUUUCAUUUACUCAUUAAAUUUUUAAAAUAAAUUUAGUACCUGGUCCAUAUUUGGAAUUCAGUUAACUUUUGUGGAAUAAGUGAAUGAAUGGGUGGGGUCCUAGUUGACCAACCUUUGUCUUAGUAGAUUAAGAUUCAUCUACUUAACAGGCAGGAACAAGACAAGAGUUUCAUGAAGAGCCUCAUGAAGCUAUAUAAGUCUGUGAUGGAGAACUGAUGCUAGCAGUGUCAGGAAUAUCACAAAGGGUACCAGUCCAAUGGGGCACAGGGUUACUAUAGUUCUGACAUGAUCCUGCACUUCUCAAGUGUGGAAUUAUGCUUCUAACAAAGCCAAGGACUACAGGAAGAUAUCUGAUGAACUUUAACGUUCCUUUGGGCCUUUUUUAUGAUCAUUUUGAAGAUGCUUCAUUACUGCUACAUAACAUUAAGUAUCAUUAUUGAUUGGUCUGUGCUAUUACCUUACUUGCUAUUAAAUAUUGUAAAUAUCACCCCUGCCACCAUGAGAUCAGCUUUCAGUUCAGAUACCAUUUGGAAAUGGCUCUUCCCAUGAAGAGUUUAUAAUGAUCCUCCGUUCCUCCCAACAUGAUGGAGAGAAAGGCACAAGUGCCCAGUUCAGUGAGAAGUGUUGCUCAGUUGAAAAACAGGCAGGUGUCAUUUCCAGGGCAAUAAAUAUAUAGGUAGCAGUGGUUUUACAAGAUGAAAAUUCCUAUAGACAUCUAUUGCUAAAUGUUGUUCUUGUAUAUGUUUUGGGGAACUGUAUAAGCUGAGAUUGAGAAGUGAGGAUCCAGACACAGAGAAGGGAUCAAUUCCCAAAGAGAAAAGAACAGCAUGGAAAACAGAAACCAGAUGAAGAGGAAUUCAGGAACUAUGCUGAGGCAUGGAAUGUUCUUCUGGGCUACUAUUUCCUUCAAUCAAGUUAAUUUUCAUGCAUUCUUACAACCACGUGGACUCUGAUAUCUACCAGAACACCUGAGAAGACCCUGUCUCCUGGUUUUCUUGCUUUCACCAGCCUUACAAGUAUUUACAGCAUAAAAUAUCUAUGAGGAAGAUCAGCCUUGAGCUAACUACUGCCAGUCCUCCUCUUUUUGCUGAGGAAGACUGGCCCUGAGCUAACAUCUGUGCCCAUCUUCGUCUGCUUUAUAUGUGGGAAGCCUACCACAGCAUGGCUUUUGCCAAGCGGUGCCAUGUCUGCACCCGGGAUCUGAACCUGCGAACCCCAGGCUGCCAAGAAGCAGAACAUGCAAACUUAACUGCUGUGCCAUGGGGCCGGCCCCGAUGUGCUCCAUUUUUAAGUUGUAAAAUACAAAUAUUAUACAUACUGGGAAUAUAAUAGCUUAAUGGAUUUUCUUAGGAAUAUAGUUUCAUGAAGUGCAUGAAUGGUGUGUAUUGAAUCAGCCUGUCUAGAUAUGGAGACCAGGAAAGCUGAAUCAGCUUCAUUCUAAACCAUCAACAUCUGUGACCUUGGAACAAAUCAAUAGAGUCUAUUCAGCUUGUCUUUGGGAAAUGGAGUUAAUUCAACUUCUAAUUCAAGUCAAUUAAUAUCUAUGGGUCCAUCACGUUGUUCCUGGCUCCAAGGAUACAACAUAUGGUUAGUGUUCUCGUCCUCCAGCAGCCCUCCAUCUAGCUGGGAGACAGAUUUGUACACAUUGAACCAAAGCACAAGUUCAGGCUGUGGCCAUCGCACAAACAAAGCAUUACAGGGAAACAGAUAAUGACUGAAGGUUGAAGGAAGCUGGGGGAGGGGAAAGCUUCACAGAGAAGGGGAAAUUUAAGUUAGACAUUUAAGUAAAAGUGCCUUGUUCCUUCAUUCUUACAAAAUGAAUUCUCAAGAAUCCUAUAAAAUCACAUAUCUUUUUUUCCUGACUGAUCAGAGACUUCCAAUUUCCUAAUAUGUGAACUAUUUUUAUUGCUAUAGAAUUGACGAAC
RNAcentral lists this long non-coding RNA (2214 nucleotides) under Equus caballus (horse). RNAcentral's name for it is "lncRNA (ENSECAG00000048480.1)". Lineage: Eukaryota; Metazoa; Chordata; Mammalia; Perissodactyla; Equidae. The record is from RNAcentral.